CAAUUUCACCUUUGUACUUUCCAUGACAAUUUAAGUCAUGACAACUGAGUGAGAUAAAAUCUGUAAAAAGCUUUGCACAAUGUGUGGCACAUUUAAUGUGUUCCUUAUUUAGUGUAGGAAAUGCAUUCUGUGAACUGGAGAUAUAGCCAAAUCUGUGCAGGAAAGGGAUAUUAUCUGAUUGGAUUUCAUAGAGAUAUGUUCCUGAAAUCCCAACUUAUUACAUAUUACUAAGAAGUAUGGGUUUACUUAAACUAUAGUGUAAAUAAACUUGGAUUAAUAGAAAUAUAUAUUAUAAAAGGCAUACUAAUUUUAAAAAUUAAAUUUGAAAAGUUACAUGCUUAUUUGGGAACUGAUGGCUUGAACAUAACCAGUGUGGCCCCCAUGAGAGCAAGUAUUGGUUGUCAUUUACUGAUAAUCUCAAGGCAUAACUUAGACUCCACCAAAGCGUGGCCCCCAGCAAGGGUGCGAAACUGUCCUUGGGGUCUUUACACACUAAUGCGUGGUUCUUUCUGCCAAUAAAGGACUUGGUGGCACAUACUUCCAAUAAAAGGCAGGUUACCCACAAUGCAGGUAAGCCGGGAGGGUGGAUACCAGGCUCAGGAGUAACUGGAGUGCUGGGGCAUCCAAACACAGCUUGCUGGUCAGCACUGCUGUCUGUCUCCCCUUUUACACUGUGAAGCUGCUGCAGUGUGUCUGUCUGUCAAGACAGCCAGUUCUGGCUCCAGAGAGAGAUUUUUGUUCAUGGGCCUUUUGUUGUUGUUGUUGUUGUUCUUGGAGGUGGUUGAAGAGUUCCUCUGAUUUCUCUCAGAUAAAGAGCUGCCGACAUUGCUUUACAGCUGCACUGGUGGCCGCCAUUGCUAGGUCUAGAGAAUGAUUUCGUGCCUUUUACCACCCAGCUUGAUCCUCUCUGCUGUGUUUCUUUGAGACAGAUUCAGGCCCUUAACUUACACAGCUUUGUUUGGUUUUUUCCUGCCAGUCAUCAUGGGCUAAAGUGAUUUUCGCAGCAGCGUAGCACAUUGGUUAAGACUCUGGAGACUGACUGCCAAGGUGGGAACAGCAGCUCUUCCAUUUACGACACCUGUGGCUGCAGGCAAUUACGUAACCUCUUUGAAACUCAGUAUUCUCACCUUUUCAUAGUUCUGGAGGCUAGGAAGUCUGAGAUAGAGGCACUGGCAAGUUCCCUUGUCUGAUGAGAGCUGCUUUCCAAGAUGGUACCUUGAUGCUCUGUCCUCCAGAGGGGAGAAAUGCUGAGCCCCUACACGGUAGAAGGUGGAAAGGCAAGGGGGCUGAAUGCUGUAUGAAGCCUCUUUUAUAAAGGCCUUAAUUCCAUCACAAGGGAGAAGCCCUCAU
RNAcentral lists this long non-coding RNA (1350 nucleotides) under Homo sapiens (human). Its description in RNAcentral is "HSALNT0040130". Lineage: Eukaryota; Metazoa; Chordata; Mammalia; Primates; Hominidae. The record is from RNAcentral.